UGGGGAAUCUUGCACAAUGCGCGAAAGCGUGAUGCAGCAACGCCGCGUGGGGGAAGAAGGCCUUCGGGUUGUAAACCCCUUUCAGUUGGGACGAAGCUUCAGCGGUGAAUAGCCGCUUGGAGUGACGGUACCUUCACAAGAAGCCCCGGCUAACUACGUGCCAGCAGCCGCGGUAAUACGUAGGGGGCUAGCGUUGUCCGGAAUCAUUGGGCGUAAAGAGCGUGUAGGCGGCCCGGUAAGUCCGCUGUGAAAGUCGGGGGCUCAACCCUCGAAUGCCGGUGGAUACUGUCGGGCUAGAGUGCGGAAGAGGCGAGUGGAAUUCCUGGUGUAGCGGUGAAAUGCGCAGAUUUCAGGAGGAACACCGAUUGCGAAGGCAGCUCGCUGGGACGUAACUGACGCUGAGACGCGAAAGCGUGGGGAGCAAACAGG
RNAcentral lists this ribosomal RNA (429 nucleotides) under Actinomycetes bacterium. Its description in RNAcentral is "Actinobacteria bacterium partial 16S ribosomal RNA". It matches the Rfam family "Bacterial small subunit ribosomal RNA", at positions 355 to 776 of the family's 1533-position model. Lineage: Bacteria; Bacillati; Actinomycetota; Actinomycetes. The record is from RNAcentral.